AUGUUAGGUCGUUGCAUUUUCUUAAGGACAAGAAAACUAACCAAGGACCUUGCCCGUGGUACGCCCGUGAACGUCCGUGGUACGCCCGUGAAUGUCUGUGGUUCGCCCGUGAACGUCCGUGGUAUGCCCGUGGUACGUCCAUGGUAUGUCCGUGGUACAUCCGCGGUAUGCCUGUCGUACGUCCGCGGUAUGCAUGUGGUACGUCUGCGGUAUGCAUGUGGUACGUCUGCGGUAUGCCCGUGGUACGUCUGUGGUAUGCCCGUAAAUGACCGUGAACAAAGUGUGAGCGUCCUGCGGCGACGUGAGCUAGGGUGA
Arabidopsis thaliana (thale cress) is the source of this 315-nucleotide non-coding RNA. NCBI's taxonomy places the organism in Eukaryota, Viridiplantae, Streptophyta, Magnoliopsida, Brassicales, Brassicaceae. The record is from RefSeq.